This is a long non-coding RNA of Pan troglodytes (chimpanzee), 1253 nucleotides long. RefSeq lists it as uncharacterized. The transcript has 4 exons. The record is from RefSeq and is a predicted model, not a curated record. Lineage: Eukaryota; Metazoa; Chordata; Mammalia; Primates; Hominidae.
CUCAGCACCUAAGUGAUGUGACUCUCCUGUUUUGCCUGGGCCCUGCAUAUAUUUGGCACUGUGACAAAUCUCUGGAACAAAUACCCAGGGCAUGAGAGGCUCCUGCCUGGGACCUGCCCAAAAGCGGCCUUUUGGCAUAUCUCUGCAUCAAUUAACUAGCAGAUAUAACUCUUCUUUUCUGCCUAGGUUCUGCCAAAACAAGUGAUUGCGACAUAUCAUUGGACCAGCAACUAGAUGAUGUGACUCUUCUCUUCUGCCUGAGCCCUGGAUAUACUGUGUAUUGUGACACAUGGCUGAGUCCAACAUCAAGGUGAUGUGACUGACCACUUCUGCCUGGGCCAUGCUGAAAAAAGGAGAUUGUGACAUAUCACUGCAUUCAAUACCUAGAUGAUUGUGUCUAGGGCCCCGGGGCUGGGGGAGAAGCAGCAUCCAAGAUGCGCCAUGAGGGGGCUUCACCUGGAUGGAGACCAGCUCUCCCCAUGUCCUGGUGCCCUGCCCAGCAGUGCAACAGAACUGGGGACAGAGAUGCAGGACAAUACCAGCACUUCAGGAACCAUGGCAUUGUGAAGACUGUUUCUCUAGCUGUGCAGCUGCAAGGUCACUAGACAGAUCAACUCAAGUCAUAAAACAUGUUUUUCCUUGAAAAGUAAGAAAUGAUGUAAUGCAUGUUUCAAUUAAUUGAAUAACUGUCUUUGUUUCUCACUUCUGUAAUAUGCUUCCCCCUGCACAGAUCUCCCCCUGCCCUACAAAAUGCUUAAAAGGUAACGUAGCUCUUUGUUCAGGGCUCAGUCCUUUGGAUGUAAAUCUGACUGGGUCGGUGCACCUAAAUAAUAAAUAUCCUCCUCAAUCCCUCAGUAUAUCUGAUUCCUUAAAAUAUCCCACUACAGAACUCCUGAUCUCAGGUGAUCUGCCUGCCUCAACCUCCCAAAGUGCUGGGAUUACAGGCAUGAGCCACUGCAUGCGGCCUAAAAAAUAAUUUCUUUAAAAUGGUAUACUCUGCAUCAACAUUGACACAAAAGCUUCUGUUAAACUCUGACACCCACUCAGAUGUCACCUCCCCUAUAAAACCCUCCUUGAUUUCCCUCACUGCUAUCUCAGGGGGAGAAUUAAUCACUACUACCAUUUGGCUGCCUCAAUACCUUAUAUCUUUUUAUGAACAAGCAUUAUUCUCCAGAAUAAAUUAAUAAUUUAUGCAUCUAUCCACACUAAUGGACUAUAAAUGGGGCAGAUAUGUUGAACCCUACUCAUCUAUG